GGCAACCAGCAGCAUCCACCCGGCGGCCGGCAGGCAGGAGCCAGCGAGGCCCGGAAGGCUGUAGAGUGCGCCAGCCACUCGGAGUCUAGCGCACCCCUACUUCGUUUUCCUUCGCCUCCUACCCGCCAAGGUCCGACUGGUUUCUUCGCCUGCGCCAAGCCUAGGGAGGGGGUUAGGAGCAGCCGCGCCCCCCUCCCCGCGGCAGCCGCCCCCUGCUCUCCCAGCUCUGCUCGCUGCCGCGUGCGCCCGGGCCGGUGCGCCCCGGCAGCGCCAGCCAUGUCGAUGCUGCCGUCGUUUGGUUUUACUCAAGAGCAAGUGGCGUGCGUGUGCGAGGUUCUGCAGCAAGGAGGGAACCUGGAACGCCUGGGCAGGUUCUUGUGGUCGUUGCCCGCCUGCGAUCACCUGCACAAGAACG
This 415-nucleotide long non-coding RNA is filed under the name Rattus norvegicus (Norway rat). Its description in RNAcentral is "long non-coding RNA NONRATT025108". The record is from RNAcentral. Lineage: Eukaryota; Metazoa; Chordata; Mammalia; Rodentia; Muridae.